CCUACGGGAGACAGCAGUAGGGAAUCUUCCACAAUGGGCGCAAGCCUGAUGGAGCAACACCGCGUGAGUGAAGAAGGGUUUCGGCUCGGAAAGCUCUGUUGUUGGAGAAGAACGUGCGUGAGAGUAACUGUUCACGCAGUGACGGUAUCCAACCAGAAAGUCACGGCUAACUACGUGACAGCAGCCGCGGUAAUACGUAGGUGGCAAGCAUUAUCCGGAUUUAUUGGGCGUAAAGCGAGCGCAGGCGGUUGCUUAGGUCUGAUGUGAAAGCCUUCGGCUUAACCGAAGAAGUGCAUCGGAAACCGGGCGACUUGAGUGCAGAAGAGGACAGUGGAACUCCAUGUGUAGCGGUGGAAUGCGUAGAUAUAUGGAAGAACACAAGUGGCGAAGGCGGCUGUCUGGUCUGCAACUGACGCUGAGGCUCGAAAGCAUGGGUAGCGAACAGGAUUAGAUACCCGAGUAGUC
RNAcentral lists this ribosomal RNA (465 nucleotides) under uncultured bacterium. RNAcentral describes it as "partial 16S ribosomal RNA". It matches the Rfam family "Bacterial small subunit ribosomal RNA", at positions 338 to 795 of the family's 1533-position model. The record is from RNAcentral.